ACCCGUUGAUCCUGCGGGCGGCUACUGCUAGUAGGAUUCGAUUUAGCCAUGCAAGUCAGGCAGCAAUGCCGGCGCAAUGCUCAGUAACAAGUCAUUAAUCUGCCCUUGGGCCUGGGAUAUCUUCGGGAAACUGAAGGGAAAACCGGAUAUGGGAGAAAUACUGGAAUGUUUUUUCCUUUAAAGGCAACACCCAAGGAUGAGAUGGCGGCGGAUUAGGUAGUUGGUGAGGUAAAGGCUCACCAAGCCAGAUAUCCGUAGGGGCCUUGAGAGAGGUAGCCCCGAGAAGGACACUGAGAUACUGGUCCUAGCUCCACGGAGUGCAGCAGGCGCGAAAUCUCCCCAAUGUGCGAAAGCGUGAGGGGGGAAUCCUACGUGCAUGUGCGAUUUAGCAUAUGCUUUUGCCAAAGGCAAAUACUUUGGCGAAUAAGUGGUGGGCAAGACGGGUGCCAGCCGCCGCGGUAACACCCGCGCCACGAGUGGUAGCCACAUUUAUUGGGUCUAAAGCGUUCGUAGCCGGUCAGGUAAAUUCACUGUGAAAUUGUAAGGCUUAACCUUACAGUGUGCAGUGGACACUGCCAGACUAGGGACCGGGAGGAGCUAGAGGUAUUCUUGGGGGAGCGGUAAAAUGCUAUAAUCCCAAGAGGACCACCUGUGGCGAAAGCGUCUAGCUAGAACGGAUCCGACGGUGAGGAACGAAAGCUGGGGGAGCAAUCCGGAUUAGAUACCCGAGUAGUCCCAGCCGUAAACGCUGCGAGCUAGGUGUUGCAUAUUCUUCGUGAAUAUGCAGUGUCGAAGUGAAGACGAUAAGCUCGCCACCUGGGAAUUACGGUCGCAAGACUGAAACUUAAAGGAAUUGGCGGGGGAGCACCACAAGGGGUGCGGCGUGCGGUUUAAUCUAACUCAACACAGAGCAUCUCACCAGGGUCGACGGCAGGAUGAAGGUCAGUCUAAAGGGCUUACCUGACGAGCCGAGAGGUAGUGCAUGGCCGUCGUCAGCUCGUGCCGCAAGGUGUCCUGUUAAGUCAGGCAACGAGCGAGACCCGCAUUCAUAAUUGCUAACGGCCUCAUCGAGGGACUGAGCACACUAUGAACACUGCCCGUGAAAACGGGAGGGAGGCGCGGGCAACGGUAGGUCUGUAUGCUCCGAAUACUCUGGGCUACACGCGCGCAACAAUGGUAGGGACAAUGGGAUGCAACACCGAAAGGUGAAGCUAAACCUCUAAACCCUAUCUUAGUUCAGAUUGAGGGCUGUAACUCGCCCUCAUGACGACGGAAUCCCUAGUAAUCGGGUGUCAAAAGCGCCCGGUGAAUAUGUCCCUGCUCCUUGCACACACCGCCCGUCAAACCAAUCGAGCAGGGUUUGGGUGAGAUAUAGGUUAUUGCCUAUAUCGAAUCUGAUCUCAGUGAGGUGGGUUAAGUCGUCACAAGGUA
RNAcentral lists this ribosomal RNA (1431 nucleotides) under metagenome. RNAcentral's name for it is "bacterial SSU rRNA". It matches the Rfam family "Archaeal small subunit ribosomal RNA". The record is from RNAcentral.